UACGGAGGGGGCGAGCGUUAUUCGGAAUUAUUGGGCGUAAAGGGCGCGUAGGCGGCCCGGUAAGUCAAAGGUGAAAUCCCUCGGCUCAACUGAGGAACUGCCUUUGAAACUGUCGGGCUUGAGGCCGGGAGGGGGUGGCGGAAUUCCCAGUGUAGCGGUGAAAUGCGUAGAUAUUGGGAGGAACAUCAGUGGCGAAGGCGGCCCUCUGGUCCAGUACUGACACUCAAGUGCGAAAGCGUGGGGAGCAAACAGG
This 253-nucleotide ribosomal RNA is filed under the name uncultured bacterium. RNAcentral's name for it is "partial 16S ribosomal RNA". It matches the Rfam family "Bacterial small subunit ribosomal RNA", at positions 524 to 776 of the family's 1533-position model. The record is from RNAcentral.